This 122-nucleotide ribosomal RNA is filed under the name Fraxinus excelsior (European ash). The record is from RNAcentral. Lineage: Eukaryota; Viridiplantae; Streptophyta; Magnoliopsida; Lamiales; Oleaceae.
GGGUUCGACCAUACUAGCACUAACGCACCGGAUCCCAUCAGAACUCCGAAGUUAAACGUGCUUGGGCGAGAGUAGUACUAGGAUGGGUGACCCCCUGGGAAGUCCUCGUGUUGCACCCNNNN